UGGAUUCAGCAAGGAAGUCUUGAGGAGGAACUGCUUCAGCCUCCAAAUUUGAUCAAGCAGGGAGAUGUCCUCCACAGCUGGAUCUAAGAAGCAGUGAUUGUUGAUGAGCAGGUUCAACUGGUGCCUAUUAAUCUUCAAACUGUUGUGUAUACUGGCACCCUUGUCUUCCACCAUGGGUGUGUGUUGGUCAACUUCAUGUGUACGUCCUGCAACAUGGUUAGUGAAAUACGGUUCCAAAGAAAUGACAUGCAGGGGUAUAACACCCAAUCCCAG
This 273-nucleotide long non-coding RNA is filed under the name Vigna radiata. RNAcentral's name for it is "long non-coding RNA (VRAD_LNC013187)". Lineage: Eukaryota; Viridiplantae; Streptophyta; Magnoliopsida; Fabales; Fabaceae. The record is from RNAcentral.